UCUAAAAACAGAGCUCAGUGGUAGAGCAUUUGACUGCAGAUCAAGAGGUCCCCAGUUCAAUUCUGGGUGCCCCCUUUGGAA
This 81-nucleotide transfer RNA is filed under the name Danionella cerebrum. RNAcentral describes it as "tRNA-Cys". The stretch from base 9 to 69 matches the Rfam family "tRNA", at positions 6 to 65 of the family's 71-position model. From Rfam's summary of the family: Transfer RNA (tRNA) molecules are approximately 80 nucleotides in length. Their secondary structure includes four short double-helical elements and three loops (D, anti-codon, and T loops). The record is from RNAcentral. Lineage: Eukaryota; Metazoa; Chordata; Actinopteri; Cypriniformes; Danionidae.